GGUUGUGUAGUGUAGGGGUUAGCACGUGAGAUUUUGAUCUGGUAUUGAUUUCUCGAGACCUGGGUUCGAUUCCCAGCACGACCU
Non-coding RNA from Pyronema omphalodes CBS 100304, 84 nucleotides. NCBI's taxonomy places the organism in Eukaryota, Fungi, Ascomycota, Pezizomycetes, Pezizales, Pyronemataceae. The record is from Rfam.